UCUGUGAUGCCCUUAGAUGUUCUGGGCCGCACGCGUGCUACACUGACGCAUACAGCGAGUACAUCCCAGCUCCGUGAGGCAGCUGGUAAUCAGCAAUAUGCGUCGUGAUGGGGAUAGAUCUUUGGAAUUAUAGAUCUUGAACGAGGAAUUCCUAGUAAGCGCAAGUCAUUACCUUGCGCUGAUUAAGUCCCUGCCCUUUGUACACACCGC
RNAcentral lists this ribosomal RNA (210 nucleotides) under uncultured stichotrichid. Its description in RNAcentral is "partial 18S ribosomal RNA". It matches the Rfam family "Eukaryotic small subunit ribosomal RNA", at positions 1461 to 1672 of the family's 1831-position model. Lineage: Eukaryota; Ciliophora; Spirotrichea; Stichotrichida. The record is from RNAcentral.